GCAAGUCGAACGAGAACGGGAUUGCUUGCAAUCCUUAGUAGAGUGGCGCACGGGUGAGUAACACGUAGAUAAUCUACCUUCAAGCCUGGGAUAACUAUUCGAAAGGAUAGCUAAUACCGGAUGAAGUUGUUCUGCUCAAGUAGAAUAAUGAAAGAUUGCCUCUUCUUGAAAGCAAUUGUUUGGAGAUGAGUCUGCGGACCAUUAGUUUGUUGGUGGGGUAAAAGCCUACCAAGACUGCGAUGGUUAGCUGGUCUGAGAGGAUGAUC
This 266-nucleotide ribosomal RNA is filed under the name uncultured bacterium. RNAcentral's name for it is "partial 16S ribosomal RNA". It matches the Rfam family "Bacterial small subunit ribosomal RNA", at positions 57 to 305 of the family's 1533-position model. The record is from RNAcentral.